UACGUAGGUGGCAAGCGUUGUCCGGAAUUAUUGGGCGUAAAGCGCUCGCAGGCGGUCCUUUAAGUCUGAUGUGAAAUCUCGCGGCUCAACCGCGAAAGGUCAUUGGAAACUGGGGGACUUGAGUGUAGGAGAGGAAAGUGGAAUUCCACGUGUAGCGGUGAAAUGCGUAGAUAUGUGGAGGAACACCAGUGGCGAAGGCGACUCUCUGGUCUGUAACUGACGCUGAGGUGCGAGAGCGUGGGUAGCGAACAGG
Molecule: unclassified non-coding RNA, 253 nt
Filed under: uncultured Caryophanales bacterium
Lineage: Bacteria; Bacillati; Bacillota; Bacilli; Caryophanales
Description: uncultured Bacillales bacterium contains 16S-23S intergenic spacer region
Rfam family: Bacterial small subunit ribosomal RNA
Source: RNAcentral